UCUGCCUUCAGGUCUGGGACAACCACUGGAAACGGUGGCUAAUACCGGAUGUGCCGCAAGGUGAAAGGUUAACUGCCUGAAGAUGAGCUCGCGUCUGAUUAGCUAGUUGGCAGUGUAAGAGACUACCAAGGCGACGAUCAGUAGCUGGUCUGAGAGGACGAUCAGCCACACUGGGACUGAGACACGGCCCAGACUCCUACGGGAGGCAGCAGUGGGGAAUUUUCCGCAAUGGGCGAAAGCCUGACGGAGCAAUACCGCGUGAGGGAGGAAGGCUCUUGGGUCGUAAACCUCUUUUCUCAGGGAAGAACACAAUGACGGUACCUGAGGAAUAAGCAUCGGCUAACUCCGUGCCAGCAGCCGCGGUAAUACGGAGGAUGCAAGCGUUAUCCGGAAUGAUUGGGCGUAAAGCGUCCGCAGGUGGCGAUGUAAGUCUGCUGUUAAAGCGUCUAGCUCAACUAGAUAAAAGCAGUGGAAACUACAUAGCUAGAGUGCGUUCGGGGCAGAGGGAAUUCCUGGUGUAGCGGUGAAAUGCGUAGAGAUCAGGAAGAACACCGGUGGCGAAGGCGCUCUGCUAGGCCGUAACUGACACUGAGGGACGAAAGC
This 603-nucleotide ribosomal RNA is filed under the name Nostoc sp. 'Sticta hypochra cyanobiont'. RNAcentral's name for it is "bacterial SSU rRNA". It matches the Rfam family "Bacterial small subunit ribosomal RNA", at positions 125 to 760 of the family's 1533-position model. The record is from RNAcentral. Lineage: Bacteria; Bacillati; Cyanobacteriota; Cyanophyceae; Nostocales; Nostocaceae.